Molecule: ribosomal RNA, 669 nt
Filed under: uncultured bacterium
Lineage: Bacteria
Description: bacterial SSU rRNA
Rfam family: Bacterial small subunit ribosomal RNA
Source: RNAcentral
GAGUUUGAUCCUGGCUCAGAUUGAACGCUGGCGGAAUGCUUUACACAUGCAAGUCGAACGGCAGCACGGGGGCAACCCUGGUGGCGAGUGGCGAACGGGUGAGUAAUACAUCGGAACGUGCCCAGUCGUGGGGGAUAACGUAGCGAAAGCUACGCUAAUACCGCAUACGAUCUCUGGAUGAAAGCGGGGGACCGCAAGGCCUCGCGCGAUUGGAGCGGCCGAUGGCAGAUUAGGUAGUUGGUGGGGUAAAGGCUCACCAAGCCGACGAUCUGUAGCUGGUCUGAGAGGACGACCAGCCACACUGGGACUGAGACACGGCCCAGACUCCUACGGGAGGCAGCAGUGGGGAAUUUUGGACAAUGGGCGCAAGCCUGAUCCAGCCAUUCCGCGUGCAGGAUGAAGGCCCUCGGGUUGUAAACUGCUUUUGUACGGAACGAAAAGGCUUUCUCUAAUACAGAGAGCUCAUGACGGUACCGUAAGAAUAAGCACCGGCUAACUACGUGCCAGCAGCCGCGGUAAUACGUAGGGUGCAAGCGUUAAUCGGAAUUACUGGGCGUAAAGCGUGCGCAGGCGGUGAUGUAAGACAGGUGUGAAAUCCCCGGGCUUAACCUGGGAACUGCAUUUGUGACUGCAUUGCUGGAGUGCGGCAGAGGGGGAUGGAAUUCCGCG